GUAGGAAACUAGGCUGAAAAACAGAUGCCUCAAAGAACUGAUUUCUGAGGAAGGAUGAUCACUGUGAUAUGAGAGCCCUGCUAUGGUAUUUGCAUUCACAUUAGGUAGACUGGAUGUGGCUACUCCACUUUCAAUGAACAGUUUACCUUCCCUGGAAGCCAGGAAAGCAAUGAUCUCUACAGUGGGUAAUAUCAUCAAGCUCCCUUGAAAAUAAUCCACGUGGGAUUAAAUUAACUGCUAUGUAAAAGAGAUGGAAUCAUUUAAAUUUCAUUUUGAAGAUACUCUGCUGUUUGUAUGCUACAGGAUUCUAGAGCUUUGGUGGACAACUGUGAAAGAAAAUACUGAGAGAAUUUUUUUUUUUUUUUUUAGUGUUAUCCAGAUUCUGGCAAAUAUUGGAAUGUAUACAAUGAUGAUUUAUAUCCUUGAUAUCCAGUGAAUGAGCAUCUACCACCUAUAAACGUUUGGUGGGAUUUUAGCACUAUGUGGCACACAGUCAUUCCAAUUGAUGUAGAAAAAGUUUUGCAGCAAAUGUGCCACAAAGCUCACAGUCCUGAGGACAGUGACUUUUCAUAUUAUACAGUCAUUGUUAAAACAAGUGCAGGUCAUUUAGCACAGAACAGAUAAUUGUUGUAAAAACGAUCCCCCAGUACAGUUUGUGAUGCACGUAGCCUGGACAAAAGUUCUCUUGUCUUAAAUUUUUUCAAAAUUCAAAUAUUCUGUUCUUGGCCAUUCCUCUGCUUUAACUUUAUUCUUGAAAAAACUCAAAUUCCUUUACUUGGCUGAAGUAUCUCAGAGAGGCUUCCCCCAUUUGACUCCCUGAUGCUGUAUUCCAGAAUUGCCGGUCACUUAACACAUAUGGACCCCAGAAUAUUAGCUUUGGCAACAUCCCCAGGCUCUUUGCAAAAUAAGAAUUCACACUUCCCAAGCCAAGUGUAAGUGGAAGGUUCCCACAACGCUGGUGAAUCCAGAAAGAUUCUUGUAGGCCAUUCACAUCCAAACAACCAAAGGGCUUAAAGCUGUUGAUUGGCAAUACCACUUACGGUCCAUUCUUGUGGUAAGAUGCAAGUUAUUAAAUUUUCCUUUUGAAGGCAUAUUGCUUGAAGGUGCCAGAAAAUUAGGGCUUUUCUUAGCCAGUGUUAAUAACAUGCAGUUUAAGCUGGAGAAUUUGAAUCUAUUCAAUUUCAUUUUAGUUUGCAUGGAAGAAAACCUAUUCCUUAGCAACAACUUGAGUAUGGUAAAAAUAAAGGUUCUGUGGAAUUUU
Meleagris gallopavo (turkey) is the source of this 1261-nucleotide long non-coding RNA. RefSeq lists it as uncharacterized. The record is from RefSeq and is a predicted model, not a curated record. Lineage: Eukaryota; Metazoa; Chordata; Aves; Galliformes; Phasianidae.